CUCGUUCUUCAAUCUGUCCACUUACUUCACUCUGAAGACCUCCUUCUUUUUCUAAAUUGACUAGUGAGCUGGAGACAACACCAACAUUUUUGUAAUGGCCUGCAAGGCCUUCCGAGAUCUACCUCCUGCAACUCAGCUUCUCCUGUGCUCUCCUUCUGGACUCACUCUGCCUCAGCAACACUGGUCCCUG
Molecule: long non-coding RNA, 190 nt
Organism: Homo sapiens (human)
Lineage: Eukaryota; Metazoa; Chordata; Mammalia; Primates; Hominidae
Gene: TEX41
Product: testis expressed 41
Source: Ensembl